Molecule: ribosomal RNA, 423 nt
Filed under: uncultured bacterium
Lineage: Bacteria
Description: partial 16S ribosomal RNA
Rfam family: Bacterial small subunit ribosomal RNA
Source: RNAcentral
AAUAUUGGACAAUGGGGGCAACCCUGAUCCAGCCAUGCCGCGUGUGUGAAGAAGGUCCNCGGAUUNUNAUGCACUUUAAGUUGGGNGGAAGGGCUUUAGGCUAAUACCAUGAAGUUUUGACGUUACCAACAGAAUAAGCACCGGCUAACCCUGUGCCAGCAGCCGCGGUAAUACAGAGGGUGCAAGCGUUAAUCGGAAUUACUGGGCGUAAAGCGAGAGUAGGUGGUUCAGGAAGAUGGGUGUGAAAGCCCCGGGCUUAACCUGGGAACUGCUUUCAUAACUGCUGAGCUAGAGUACGGUAGAGGGUAGUGGAAUUUCCUGUGUAGCGGUGAAAUGCGUAGGUAUAGGAAGGAAAACCAGUGGCGAAGGCGACUACCUGGACUGAUACUGACACUGAGGUGCGAAAGCGUGGGGAGCAAACAG